UUUGCAACUCAUCAGAUUGUUUGCACAGG
This 29-nucleotide non-coding RNA is filed under the name Homo sapiens (human). Lineage: Eukaryota; Metazoa; Chordata; Mammalia; Primates; Hominidae. The record is from RNAcentral.